UACGUAGGGUGCGAGCGUUAAUCGGAAUUACUGGGCGUAAAGUGUGCGCAGGCGGCGUCGCAAGUCGAGUGUGAAAGCCCCGAGCUUAACUUGGGAAUUGCGCUCGAAACUACGGUGCUCGAGUAUGGCAGAGGAAGGUGGAAUUCCACGUGUAGCGGUGAAAUGCGUAGAGAUGUGGAGGAACACCGAUGGCGAAGGCAGCCUUCUGGGCCAAUACUGACGCUCAUGCACGAAAGCGUGGGGAGCAAACAGG
RNAcentral lists this ribosomal RNA (253 nucleotides) under uncultured bacterium. Its description in RNAcentral is "partial 16S ribosomal RNA". It matches the Rfam family "Bacterial small subunit ribosomal RNA", at positions 524 to 776 of the family's 1533-position model. The record is from RNAcentral.